Molecule: long non-coding RNA, 3394 nt
Organism: Corvus hawaiiensis (hawaiian crow)
Lineage: Eukaryota; Metazoa; Chordata; Aves; Passeriformes; Corvidae
Exons: 3
Source: RefSeq, a predicted model, not a curated record
CCCCGCCGGCCCCGGGGCAGCUCCGGAGCGCCCGGCGCAGAGCAGGGAGCUGAUCGCGGGGGGAAAACAAGGAGCUGAGCGCGGCCUCUGCUCUGGCGGGUGAGGGCUCAGCUGGGGAGGCCAGGAUGGCUCCAUGGCCUCGGUGAGCUUCCCCGCUCCCUCCCCAGGGGCUCAUUAACAGGAUGAACUUGCAGCAGUGAAAUCGGCUGAAUUCCAAGGCAGCCUAAAAUCCACCAGAAGCACAUGAGAAGAAAACAGUGUCAUCAUGACUGUGAAGCUCUUGGAAGUUCAUUGCUCUGUCCUCUUUGUAGUUCACUCUCCAGCUGGAAAUCUCCAUAUCUGGGAUGGAAACGUGGAGAAACCUGACUCUGCAGGACCAGCAGCAGUGGGAUCACUGCAGGAGGGAAAAGAAAAAGAGGGUACCUAAGGGCUGUACUGGCACUGGUUGCACCUGAGCUGGGUGAGACGUCAGGGUCCUCUCCACAACUACCAGGAAAGAGCUGCACAUGCAGAGAGUUCCCUUCACAAGAUGGAACUGGCACAUCACCGUGCCAAGCUGAGAUCUAGGCUGGAUUUUGGCUCUUGCUGCAUGGCCCCAUCUCCCUCCCUGAAUCCAGCAAUUUUCAAAUCUGGGCUUUUGCUCAGGUCUCAUCGCUCACCAAGGGGGGCGGAUUGCAGGAGUUAAACUCCUUGUUGCAAAGCAGAGAUUCCAUUUCCCUCUAGUCUUAAGCAGCUUCAAUCCAUCUUUCUGCAUUACAGAGCCCUUGCUGAUUGUUCUGCUGUAGUGAGUAAUAACAACUUGUACUUUGCAGAUUCCCCCAGGGACCCACGUUCCUGGCUCUGCCGCACCACUGGCUCCACAGGGCAGGCACACAGCUGCCCAAGCACCCCCAGAGAGGGAUGGAGCUGCAGGAACAACGCACAAAGAAUUUGGGUGGGAAGGCGUCAAGAGUGAAGGGCACCGGAGUGUGGCUGACGGCUGUGGGGAAAUUGGAGUGCCCAGUCCUGUGAGGUGUGAACAUCACAGGAUGGGGGACACAGAGAGAAUAGGGGGGAUAUUAGGAGUGUUUUCCGUCCCAAAAGCUGCACAGACAGGUUAACUCCAAGGGGAUCCGUUACCAGAGUUACCAGUUCAUUUUUACCACAACACCUGGAUUGAUGAAGUAAGUAUCAAUCUCUACACAUUUUUUUACAUGCAGAUAGUUAAAAAGAGAAAAAAACCUGAUGAACAGAGAUGGCUUUGCUUUAUGUCCAAGCUUUGCAAGGCAUUUUGCCAAAACUAGAAGAUAUUAUUUCCAGCACCAAUAUUUAAUAAAGAUGUUUUCUUCUAUUUCAAGGCCAACAGCUGGAACUGGAAUCCAUUUCCAGAUAUGGGCACUAACUUGCAAUGGCCCAGAUUUGCUCCGCUGCCUUUUUUAAUUGUGGGCAUUAGCAGAUUAUGGGUACUUUUGUAGCAGGUCCAUAAAACACUGCUUUGUAAUCUCCUGUACGCAUUAGGGUCCAGAUUAUCAUGCUUGUAGUUGAUAAUAACAGAGAAGAGAUUGCCUGGACCCCUGGGAAAUCCAGGAGAGGCACCUGGUAGAGCCAGGAGCACACAGUACCGGGAUACAUGCAGGGGAUGGUGCACCCACAAACCUGCUGCCCACCCCUCACCUGUGGUGGCAAACACUGAGGCACAAACAGCUCCAUUUCUCUUCUUCCCAGCUCACAUUUUGGGUGGGGGCUCUGACUGUUACAGCUCCCUAUUCUGUAAAGACAUGGGUUAUCCUUCUCUUUCAUCCUAGAUGAAAGGAGGUGGUUACAUGCACCAGUUUCUAAAUCAGCUCGUAGCAAAAAAAAAAAAUCAUUAAGAAGGUGCAGGUCUGCCUUCCAGCCCGCUUGCUGCCGAGCUGGGGACUUGCUCAGUCAGCAGCAGGGAGGAAACGUGUCCCACAUAUCUUCUAAGAGCAACUGGGAGCACUGGAAGCACAAAGUUUUCAGUGGAAGGUCACUAGAUGGCCCCAGAUCUUCCUCUGCAGCAAUCCCCAGUAUUCCAGCUCUGGGGAGCCUCGACCACUCAUCCUACAGCCUGACCCCAAAGGAGCAGCAAGUCCCGGUAAGAGGGGCACCGAGUGAGAACCAGGGAUACUUGCCAAGAUAUCCUGAGCAAAGCACUUACCCCCAGAUGGCUUUUUCUGCUCCUGGCCUUUGGCUGCCGAGAGUGGGAGAGCCUGGUGUGUGUCUGGGCAAUGCCAGGGCCUGUGAGGCACUGACCUCAUACAGAUAAAGGACCAGAAGUCUGAUUACAUACAAACUCACAUCAUCCCACUGCCAGGCUGCUGCAAAACCCUCAGAGGGGAAAAAGCCAUCUACACUUAUUCCUCAAGUUAAAUCACUGCUGGAUCUCGGGCCUGCAGUGCUGUUUUGUUGGAGCUGUAAUGAUGUCCACACAGGUCAGGCUCCUCUGCAUCUCUGUUUCAGUUUCAGCUGUUUGGGCAGGACCAGAACUGGAUUCCGUGAGCAGUUACAUGGGUCUAAAUCACCACUAAAUUCCUCUGGAUUGAGCAGAUGCUUCUGUGGAGAACAAGCCAAAGGAAGAGCUGGUUUUGUACCCCAGCUCCUGCACGAAGUGAUGGCCCCAAAGAAGAGGCACAAAGGAGCAUUCAGGGAUUCCAGAGGAGGCUGAAGGCUCUGAUUUCCCAUCUUGCACUGCCUGUGGCUAGGAGAUGGGUGCCCUGCUGUCCAUCCAGACUCCAGCUUUUCCUCUUUCCUCACUGCCUGGAGCCUUCUCUGUGCCCCAUUCCCCUCUUCCUUGCCCUCCAAUCUCUUGGAGAGGAUUUGUCCUUUUGCCCACGUCAAUCUGGGUUCCUGAGAUCCAGGCUGGAGACUGCACACACUGGAUUUCUCCUUCCAUCUGAGGGGUUUCAUAAGCAAUCCAGGAUGGCUGCUCCCUGCUGCCUUGCCAGGUGUAGGAUAUAAGAGGUGGUGCUGGAGCAGCCAGGGGAUAACAGGUUCCUUGAUCCCACAUCUGUCACAGCUCACACAGACACACAGCUCCUUGUCCAGCCCCACAGACAGACCUGCCCCUCGCAUAGGUCACUGGCAGUACAGAAAGCUUUGAUCUGAGGCAGAAAUAGAGCACUGAGUGCAAGUAAAGAGGCAAAGAUUUUCGAGAACACUAUAGAAGGGUAGAUGCCAUCACAAGAAGCACAAGAACAACGCAGAAAUGCACCUUCAAAAAGAUCUCCCAGUGUACCCCCACAGUCUUCCUUAUCUCCCAUUCUACUGGAAAUCCUUUGCCUUCUCCCCACACCACAAACCUUUUCCUUGGUUUGUUUCCCAGUACAUCAAAAUGUCUCCCUGCAAGUGUAAAACUCUUUAGAUGAGGGGAAAAUAAAAUCGAUUUGAAAUCACA